RNA transcript from Rhododendron vialii, 2782 nucleotides. It is a transcript of the gene named histone-lysine N-methyltransferase, H3 lysine-9 specific SUVH1-like, with no coding region annotated. The transcript is spliced from 3 exons. The record is from RefSeq and is a predicted model, not a curated record. NCBI's taxonomy places the organism in Eukaryota, Viridiplantae, Streptophyta, Magnoliopsida, Ericales, Ericaceae.
UUUCGGAUUCGGACAAAAGCCCCGUUGCGGAAGUUUGAGCGCCGUGUCACCCAACCGGCCCACCGUGGUUCCAACACACUCUCUCUCUCUCUCUCUUCGGGAUCUGCUUGGGUUUUGUUCAGCUGAUUUUAUGUUUGAAGUUUUCAUGUUGUGCUUAAUAUUCCUCCGGCUUUAAACUCAAAUCUUUGGUGGCAAGAUGAGAACCUGUCAUACAGAGUGAGAGUGGUGGAAGAAGAGAGUGAAUAAUAAACAUUUUGCCUUUUUGGUAGUCAAGUGUCUGUGGAAUUGUAAUUUAAGUGGGUUCAAAUAGUGUUGAUCAGUUAUGGAACAAGGUGUGGGUUCAGAGUCUAUUCCUACACCGGGUUCUAUGGAUAAAUCUAAGAUUUUUGAUAUAAGGCCAUUGCGAUGUCUUGUUCCAACAUUCCCAUCCUCUCCUGGCACAUCCGCCUUCUCAUCUCCCCAAACUUCACCCUUCAUGUGUUUCCCUCCAACUGGUCCUUUUCCACCUGGGGUUUCUCCAUUUUAUCCCUUUCUUGUCCCAGCAGAGUCUCUAAGGUCUGCGGUACCCAAUCAAGCAGGGCACAGUGGCUUUAACAAUGCAAUCCCAUCACCUGUUCCCCUAACUUCAUUUAGGCCAACCUCGACAAAGAAGUCUCGGGCUGCAAAUGGAAGCACUGGGCCAUCCAGAAAGAGUUCUAGAUAUCGUACAGCUGGUAUCCAUUUGGAUGAAGAUGGUUAUAGUGACUCCCAACAUCAGACUGACCAGUAUCUGAGUGGCUUCAGUAUGCAUGUCGCUGAUGCAGAAGAUACCGGUAGUAAGGUGAGGAGAAGGAAAGGAAAAUCCGAGAUGAGGACAAGGAGUGGCCGAGAGGUUUCUCCUGGUGUUGACAUUGACUUAGUAGCCAAUAGUUUCCUGGAAUCUUUCAAUCUUGCGGAGUUCGAUUCAGUUAGGCAAGCCGAUGGUGAUACCCAGUCGAUUAGAUACAUUUUAAUGAUAUUUGAUUUGCUCCGGAGAAGGAUAACCCAAGUUGAGGAAGGAAGGGAGGCAGCUCCAGGGGGAUUAAGACGUCCAGACUUAAAAGCUGGCGCUAUCUUGAUGAAUAAAGGAGUUAGAACAAACACCAAGAAGAGGAUUGGAGCUGUACCAGGGAUUGAAAUAGGGGACAUCUUUUUUUUCAGGAUGGAAAUGUGUUUGGUGGGUUUGCAUGCUCCAUCAAUGGCUGGGAUUGAUUUUAUGAGUUUCAAGCUUGUUCAAGGCGAAGAUUCUUUGGCUAUAAGCAUUGUCUCAUCUGGAGGAUACGAGGAUAAUGUUGACGAUGGGGAUGUGUUGAUUUACAGUGGCCAAGGUGGAAAUAUUUACAGAAAAGAUAGAUUUGUAGAUAUAACGGAUCAGAAACUUGAAAGGGGUAAUCUAGCAUUGGAGAAGAGUUUGCAUCGAGGCAACCAUGUUCGAGUUAUUCGCGGUGUGAAAGAUGUGGCAAAUCCAACUGGGAAGAUAUACCUCUACGAUGGCCUUUAUAAAAUCCAGCAGUCUUGGGCGGAGAAAGGGAGGUCAGGUGUCAAUGUUUUCAAGUACAAAUUCGUCAGAGUUCCUGGCCAGCCUGAAGCUUUUACCAUGUGGAAAUCAAUUCAGCAAUGGAAGGAAGGCAUUACGUCAAGGGUUGGGGUUAUUUUGCCAGACCUGACUUCAGGUGCAGAAAAUUUACCUGUUUCUCUUGUAAAUGACGUUGAUGAUGAAAAGGGCCCUGCUUAUUUUACAUAUUUUCCUACCCUCAAGUAUCGGAAACCGUUUCAUUCACCACAACCUUCUCGGAGCUGUAUGUGUCGUGGUGGAUGUCAACCUGGUGACUUAAACUGCUCUUGCAUUCAGAAAAAUGGAGGAGUUCUGCCUUAUACUGCACUUGGGGUUCUUUUGAUUUAUAAGGCUUUAAUACACGAGUGUGGUUCUUCUUGUUUAUGCCCUCCCAAUUGCCGUAACAGGAUGUCCCAGGCGGGUUUGAAAGUCCGCCUUGAGGUGUUUAGAACUAAGGAUAGAGGUUGGGGUGUAAGGUCUUGGGAUCCCAUCCGUGCAGGAGCUUUUAUCUGUGAGUACGCAGGAGAAGUCAUUGAUGUAUCUUCAGAAGAGGAGCUUGAGAGGGAAAGAGAAGAUCACUAUAUUUUCGAAGCUACUUGCACCAGUGAACCUUCAGAUGUUAUGGCUGGAAAUUCUAUUGAGUCUCCAAAAAUCCCAUUUCCCCUUGUUGUAAGUGCGAAAAAAGGUGGGAAUGUAGCUAGAUUUAUGAACCACAGCUGCACUCCAAAUCUCUAUUGGCAACCUGUGUUGCGAGAAUGUAAUAAUGAAGCUUACCUCCAUAUUGCGUUUUUCGCAAUCGGUCACAUUCCUCCUAUGAAAGAGUUGACAUAUGAUUAUGGGACAGGUCAGUCCGGCCAAGCAGGGCAGAGGAAGAAAAAAUGCCUAUGUGGUUCAUUGAAGUGCAGAGGGCAUUUUUAAUGAUGGGUGUUUUUUCAUGAAGUUGAUUGAGGAUGUUAAAGCUCAUUUGCCUCUGCAAUAAGUUUAUGGUUAAGGAGGAGCUCCAGGGAAUACUGAGUGCCUUCUGUUCUCAAUACAUUGCCCCAAGCUGUGUGGUGCUACUGGUAAUCCUAGAAUAUCAGAUUCCGUUGUAAAAUUUAGCAGAUGAUAAGAGAAUCCUUUUUUCUUGUUGAAAUAAUGUAUAAUUAUUCCAAAACAACUGUAACAUGGAUGAUGGAACUUUAGGAUUCAAAGUUUGUUUUAGUUUGUCGA